Rosa rugosa (rugosa rose) is the source of this 908-nucleotide long non-coding RNA. RefSeq lists it as uncharacterized. The transcript is spliced from 2 exons. The record is from RefSeq and is a predicted model, not a curated record. NCBI's taxonomy places the organism in Eukaryota, Viridiplantae, Streptophyta, Magnoliopsida, Rosales, Rosaceae.
UCAAUUUUAGUUGGUUUGUUUCAGUUUGUUUCAAUUUUAGUUGGUUUGAUUCAUUUUAGUUGGUUUGUUUCAGUAUUUUAGUUUGCUGCAAAUUGAUGCAGUUUCAAUAUUUUGUGUGUUUGAUGGUUUAAUGCUUUGAUCAGUUUCAUGGUUUGAGAGUUUGGGAGUUUGCUAGAAAUUUCUAAUUUGUUAUGUUGAUGUUGAUUGUUGAGUUUUAUGAGUGAAUGGUAUUUGCAAUAUUGAAUCAUUUGAAUGUAUGUAUGGAAAUCAGGAAAACUGGAAGCUGCAGACUAGAAAAUGCUGAAAAACAGUUUUUCUGUAUGGAAAAACCGAGGAACCGAACUUGGACCCGAACCGAACUUGGAACCGAAACCGAAAAACCUUCACAGGACCCGAACUGAUCUUGGAACCGAAAAACCGAGAAACCGACCCGAAUAUGGUCGGUUCGGUUCCAUAUCGGUUCUUGAUAAAAAAAACAGCAUACCCGAACCGAUUAUGUCAUCUCGGUUCCGGUUCUGGUUUCUGGACUUGAAAGUGUAAAACCGACUCAGGCCAGCCCUAAUCUAAAGUAUAUCAGGCUUUGUUCUAUCUUCACAUUCUAUUGAUACUAUUAUGUUUAUUCUCUAACUGUUCACAUACAAUGGGAUGCAGGGACUUGUUGACGUGACGGCUUGUGGUAUUUUUCUCAAGGGAAACACUAUUGCUGUCCUGGGUUCACUUCAUGGAUUAAAGAUGGUAAGGAGGAUUGUGGAAGACUGUAUAGCUCAUGAUGUGCCUCCUGCACCCCGUGUCCAGAGGAUGAAAAAGAAGAGCCAAGCAAUGAAGGACAGGAGGAUCAAAAGGACGAGUGAAGUGACAAUGAAUCUCCAAGCUUUGCGUGUCUAAAUGGUGUUCUAUGAGGCUCAUUU